Molecule: ribosomal RNA, 382 nt
Filed under: uncultured eukaryote
Lineage: Eukaryota
Description: partial 18S ribosomal RNA
Rfam family: Eukaryotic small subunit ribosomal RNA
Source: RNAcentral
CAAUAGCGUAUAUUAAAGUUGUUGCAGUUAAAAAGCUCGUAGUUGGAUUUCUGGUAGGAGUGACCGUUCCGAACUUGAUUGUUCGUGUAUUGUGUUUUCUCCAGCCAUCCUUGUGGAGAACUUUUCUUGCAUUAAUUUGUAGGGAUUGGGACCCGCAUCGUUUACUGUGAAAAAAUUAAAGUGUUUAAAGCAGGCAAUCGCUUGAAUACAUUAGCAUGGAAUAAUAAGAUAGGACUUUGGUACUAUUUUGUUGGUUUGCAUACCAAAUUAAUGGUCAACAGGAACAGUUUGAGGAUAUUCGUAUGAACAUGUCAGAGGUGAAAUUCUUGGAUUUUGAUCAGACGAACUACUGCGAANGNAUUUAUNAAGGAUGUUUNCAUUA